UACGGAGGGUGCAAGCGUUAAUCGGAAUUACUGGGCGUAAAGCGUGCGCAGGCGGUUUGUUAAGUCAGAUGUGAAAUCCCCGGGCUUAACCUGGGAACUGCGUUUGAAACUACAAGGCUAGAGUGUGACAGAGGGGGGUGGAAUUCCACGUGUAGCAGUGAAAUGCGUAGAGAUGUGGAGGAACACCGAUGGCGAAGGCAGCCCCCUGGGUUAACACUGACGCUCAGGCACGAAAGCGUGGGGAGCAAACAGG
This 253-nucleotide ribosomal RNA is filed under the name uncultured bacterium. Its description in RNAcentral is "partial 16S ribosomal RNA". It matches the Rfam family "Bacterial small subunit ribosomal RNA", at positions 524 to 776 of the family's 1533-position model. The record is from RNAcentral.